Molecule: ribosomal RNA, 253 nt
Filed under: uncultured bacterium
Lineage: Bacteria
Description: partial 16S ribosomal RNA
Rfam family: Bacterial small subunit ribosomal RNA
Source: RNAcentral
UACGUAGGGACCAAGCGUUGUCCGGAAUCAUUGGGCGUAAAGCGCGCGUAGGCGGCCCGAUAAGUCCGCUGUAAAAGUCAACGGCUCAACCGUUGAAAGCCGGUGGAUACUGUUGGGCUAGAGUUCGGAAGAGGCAAGUGGAAUUCCUGGUGUAGCGGUGGAAUGCGCAGAUAUCAGGAGGAACACCAAUAGCGAAGGCAGCUCGCUGGGACGUUACUGACACUGAGGCGCGAAAGCGUGGGGAGCGAACAGG